Molecule: long non-coding RNA, 1240 nt
Organism: Bombina bombina (fire-bellied toad)
Lineage: Eukaryota; Metazoa; Chordata; Amphibia; Anura; Bombinatoridae
Exons: 3
Source: RefSeq, a predicted model, not a curated record
GGAAGGUUGAUAUUUACAGAGUGGCAGCUCUCCCGGACGGGUGAAACAGGUGUAUGAUGUGGGAGGAUGGGAAGAAAAGUUGCCGUUCAGAAGCAGGACAGCAGCUGAAGUAUAAAUUUUCACACAGGACUUACUCUGCUGAGCUAAGGAAAUUGCGAGGAAGAAAUAGAAUACAAGUAUUUACUUAUAUCUUCAUGUCUGGGAAGAUCCCGUAACAUCUGAUUGGUGGCUAACUGUGGGCAGGCACAGGAAGAGGUAACAAGAAGAUGCACCAGUUCCAAGCUCCGGUGGGAAGAAAUAUUGUCAGGAAGAAUGAGCAAACCUUUGUGUCUGGGACGUUAAUGUAACAAUGGCUAUUAAAAAUAUAUAUACCAUAUUUUAUAAAACUGUCUAGUGCCACAGGGCCAGAUUUAGAAAAGGUAGCAGAUACCCUAUCUAUUCUGUAUUCUUUAGUCACCCCAAUUCACUCAGUUUUAGUUCAAUUUUUUUCCUGGGGCUACACAUUAUUCUGAUUUUUCUCAAGGGCUACAAAAACGAGUGCAGAGGACCACAUGUAGGGGCCGAUUUAUCAUGGCCCGAAUGGGGCCAAAUACAUCUGUUUCCGGAAACAGGAGAUAAGAAGCAGACAGCAAUCCACCCGAUCGCAUAUGAUUGGGUUGAUUGACACUCCUGAAUCUGCAAGGGGCGGCAUUGCACAAGCAGUUCACCAGAACUGCUUGUGCAAUGAUAAAUGCCGACAGCGUAUGCUGUCAGCAUUUAGAGAUACAGGGCGGACAUGAUCUGCUACAGCGAAUCAUGUCCGCCACACACAUGAUAAAUCGGCCCCGUAGCCUUCGGCCACCAGUCAGCCAUCCCUGACUUAAAUGAAGAAAUACAGUUAAACUAUAACAAACGUGUUUUACAUGCUUUUCAUGGAAGUAUUACAAGACGAAAGUAAAAAGUUUGUGAGAGAGCAAAAGACGCACGCACACUAACAUCUGGAGGUUGGAUAGUGCGACUGCGCUAACUCCCUUUCUCUAGAUAAUUCUAUGGGGUACGCUACAAAAGCCUCUUCUGGCUUUCACUCUCAUGCUAACUUUUUACUUUUAACUUAUAAUAGUAUUGAUAAUGACUGCCUAAUACUUUGGAAUGCUGUAUUUGCUCUUUUAUUCAAUAAUAUCAAUACACGUUAUGAAUUCAAUUUACAUUUUAUAUCUAUAUCCAAAAAUGUAAUUGCAAUAAUAAAUUAGCCUUCAAAUAA